This 753-nucleotide ribosomal RNA is filed under the name uncultured Pseudomonas sp. Its description in RNAcentral is "bacterial SSU rRNA". It matches the Rfam family "Bacterial small subunit ribosomal RNA", at positions 28 to 776 of the family's 1533-position model. Lineage: Bacteria; Pseudomonadati; Pseudomonadota; Gammaproteobacteria; Pseudomonadales; Pseudomonadaceae. The record is from RNAcentral.
AUUGAACGCUGGCGGCAGGCCUAACACAUGCAAGUCGAGCGGAUGAGUGGAGCUUGCUCCAUGAUUCAGCGGCGGACGGGUGAGUAAUGCCUAGGAAUCUGCCUGGUAGUGGGGGACAACGUUUCGAAAGGAACGCUAAUACCGCAUACGUCCUACGGGAGAAAGCAGGGGACCUUCGGGCCUUGCGCUAUCAGAUGAGCCUAGGUCGGAUUAGCUAGUUGGUGAGGUAAUGGCUCACCAAGGCGACGAUCCGUAACUGGUCUGAGAGGAUGAUCAGUCACACUGGAACUGAGACACGGUCCAGACUCCUACGGGAGGCAGCAGUGGGGAAUAUUGGACAAUGGGCGAAAGCCUGAUCCAGCCAUGCCGCGUGUGUGAAGAAGGUCUUCGGAUUGUAAAGCACUUUAAGUUGGGAGGAAGGGCAUUAACCUAAUACGUUAGUGUUUUGACGUUACCGACAGAAUAAGCACCGGCUAACUUCGUGCCAGCAGCCGCGGUAAUACGAAGGGUGCAAGCGUUAAUCGGAAUUACUGGGCGUAAAGCGCGCGUAGGUGGUUUGUUAAGUUGGAUGUGAAAGCCCCGGGCUCAACCUGGGAACUGCAUCCAAAACUGGCAAGCUAGAGUAUGGCAGAGGGUGGUGGAAUUUCCUGUGUAGCGGUGAAAUGCGUAGAUAUAGGAAGGAACACCAGUGGCGAAGGCGACCACCUGGGCUAAUACUGACACUGAGGUGCGAAAGCGUGGGGAGCAAACAGG